Molecule: non-coding RNA, 72 nt
Organism: Angiostrongylus cantonensis (rat lungworm)
Lineage: Eukaryota; Metazoa; Nematoda; Chromadorea; Rhabditida; Metastrongylidae
Source: Rfam
GCCUCAUUGGCACAGGGGCAGAGGGUCUGUCUAGUAAACAGAAGGUAGCUGAUUCGAUUCCAGCAUGAGGCA